RNAcentral lists this ribosomal RNA (443 nucleotides) under uncultured bacterium. Its description in RNAcentral is "partial 16S ribosomal RNA". It matches the Rfam family "Bacterial small subunit ribosomal RNA", at positions 338 to 795 of the family's 1533-position model. The record is from RNAcentral.
CCUACGGGUGGCUGCAGUGGGGAAUAUUGGGCAAUGGAGGCAACUCUGACCCAGCAACGCCGCGUGAAGGAAGAAGGCCUUAGGGUUGUAAACUUAUGUUGUAAAGGAAGUAAAGAAUGAUGGUACUUUACAAGAAAGCCCCUGCUAACUAUGUGCCAGCAGUCGCGGUAAGACAUAGGCGGCAAGCGUUGUUCGGAAUCACUGGGCGUAAAGGGAGCGUAGGCGGGAGAUUAAGUUAAGAGUGAAAGCCUUGGGUACAACCCAAGAAAUGCUCUUAAUACUGGUUUUCUAGAGUGUGGGAGAGGUAAGUGGAAUUCCUGGUGUAGCGGUAGAAUGCGUAGAGAUUAGAAGGAACAUCAGAGGCGAAGGCGGCUUACUGGACCAUAACUGACGCUGAGGCUCGAAAGCGUGGGGAGCAAACAGGAUUAGAUACCCGGGUAGUC